UGGGGAAUUUUGGACAAUGGGGGCAACCCUGAACCAGCCAUGCCGCGUGCAGGAUGAAGGCCCUAUGGGUCGUAAACUGCUUUUAUACCGGAGAAAACCCGAGUACGUGUACUCGGUUGAUAGUAUGGUAAGAAUAAGCAUCGGCUAACUUCGUGCCAGCAGCCGCGGUAAGACGAAGGAUGCAAGCGUUAUCCGGAUUCAUUGGGUUUAAAGGGUGCGUAGGCGGACUUGUAAGUCAGUGGUGAAAUCUCUUUGCUUAACAAAGAAACUGCCAUUGAUACUGCAGGUCUAGAGUAUAGAUGACGUUGGCGGAAUAUGACAUGUAGUGGUGAAAUACUUAGAUAUGUCAUAGAACACCGAUUGCGAAGGCAGCUAACGAAACUAUAACUGACGCUGAGGGACGAAAGCAAGGGGAGCAAACAGGAUUAGAUACCCAGGUAGUCCCUGAGCGGGCUGGCAAGGCGCAU
This 467-nucleotide ribosomal RNA is filed under the name uncultured bacterium. RNAcentral describes it as "bacterial SSU rRNA". It matches the Rfam family "Bacterial small subunit ribosomal RNA", at positions 355 to 825 of the family's 1533-position model. The record is from RNAcentral.